RNAcentral lists this transfer RNA (72 nucleotides) under Camelus bactrianus (Bactrian camel). It matches the Rfam family "tRNA". Rfam says of the family: Transfer RNA (tRNA) molecules are approximately 80 nucleotides in length. Their secondary structure includes four short double-helical elements and three loops (D, anti-codon, and T loops). The record is from Rfam by way of RNAcentral. RNAcentral also lists the same sequence under 2 other names. Lineage: Eukaryota; Metazoa; Chordata; Mammalia; Artiodactyla; Camelidae.
GAGGACAGAGCUCAGUGAUAGACUGCAUGCUUAGCAUGCAUGAGAUCCUGGGUUAAAUCCCCAGUAUCACCA